This 2661-nucleotide long non-coding RNA is filed under the name Mus musculus (house mouse). RNAcentral's name for it is "long non-coding RNA chr15:89246454-89249115". Lineage: Eukaryota; Metazoa; Chordata; Mammalia; Rodentia; Muridae. The record is from RNAcentral.
AGCUUUUGGUUUAUAUUUGCCCACUGUGUGUUUCAGUUGUCGUAUUUCUGCCUCUCUCAGUUUUUAAAGUAUAUGUUGUUUGUUUGUUUGUUUGUUUGUUUGAAACAAGGUCUCUGUGUGUCCCUGACUGUUGUGGAACUCACUCUGAGGUUCAGGCUGCUUGAACUCACAUAGAUCUGCCUUCCUCUGCCUCCCAAGUGCUGGGACCAAAAGUGUGUGUCAUGACACCUGGCUAAAGUAUAUUGUUUAUAGUAAACAUUGUUGAAAUGUUUAUAUCCAGUCCAAGAGACUUUUACUUUGGUAGGUUUAUCCUGUGUGUGCUGUGCUCACUGAUGUUAUUAGUGCUGGUUCCUGUCAUUUUAAUGUUUUCUACUUACUGAUUCUUUAGUUUUGUUUUCAUUUCUUGUUUCCUAGUUUUGUUGACAAGAUUAUGGGAGGUGUUUCAUUUUGGCCUUUUCUUUUGUUUGUUUUAUUGCUCUUCUCUUAGUUAUGUAUUCCUUUUGUCAUGGAUAUUAAGAGAUUUAGUAAUAGGUGUAAUCCCAGUUACGUGGCUUUUAUCUGUUCUCUUUCCACUGUAACAUAGCUAUAACUAUAUAACUAUAUAACAUAACUAUAACAUAGCUAUAACUAUGUAACUAUAUAACAUAACUAUAACAUAGCUAUAACUAUGUAACUAUAUAACAUAACUAUAACAUAGCUAUAACUAUAUAACAUAACUAUAACAUAGCUAUAACUAUAUAACUAUAUAACAUAACUAACAUAGCUAUAACUAUAUAACAUAACUAUAACAUAGCUAUAACUAUAUAACUAUAUAACAUAACUAUAACAUAGCUAUAACUAUAUAACUAUAUAACAUAACUAUAACAUAGCUAUAACUAUGUAACUAUAUAACAUAACUAUAACAUAGCUAUAACUAUGUAACUAUAUAACAUAACUAUAACAUAGCUAUAACUAUAUAAAGUAACUAUAACAUAGCUAUAACUAUAUAACAUAACUAACAUAGCUAUAACUAUAUAACAUAACUAUAACAUAGCUAUAACUAUAUAACUAUAUAACAUAACUAUAACAUAGCUAUAACUAUAUAACUAUAUAACAUAACUAUAACAUAGCUAUAACUAUAUAACUAUAUAACAUAACUAUAACAUAGCUAUAACUAUAUAACAUAACUAUAACAUAGCCCCUUUUCCUUGUCAUAUCAACAGGAAGAGAAAUGCCUAUUUAGUCAUUCUGGCCACAUGAAUGGCUAUAUCCAAAGAAUGAAGUUUAGUUGAUAGAGUAAUAAAUUGCUAUUGGAUGUGGUAGUAUACAUCUGAAAUCCUAGACUUUUGUGGAUGCUGAAGCAGAGGAAUUUUGAGUUUGAGGCCAACUUUAGCUAUACUGGAUAAACCAAUCUUAAAAAAGAGAGAGAGAGAGAGAGAGAGACCAAAACCAAACAAAAUACUUGAUUACUUGAAAUGAACUUGACGGGCCAGGUGUUACUGUUGUGCUGUUUUUACGUCAUGCAGAUUGUGUUGUCUUGUUUCUUUCCCUUAUCUCUAUCUCUUUCUGAGACAAGCUCUCUGUAUGUAGCCUUGUUUGGGCUAGAACUGGCCAUGAGGAUUAGGCUAGUCUCAGACUAACAGAAACCUGCCUGCCUGUAGUCCUGGCUGUCCUAAAACUCACUGUACAGACGAGGCUGACCUUGAACUCAGAGAUCUGCCUACCUCUGCCUCCCAAGUACUGGGAUUAAAGGCAUGCAGCACCAUUGCCAAGCUCAGGCCCAUAGUUAGUUUUAUGUCACCUAAGCUAGAGGCAUUUGGGAAGAGGGAGCCUCAAUUCAGAAAAUGCUUCCACCAGAUUGGCCUGUGGGCCAAUCAUUUUUUUGAUUGAUGUGGGAGGGCCCAGCUCAUUGUGGGCUGGUAGUCCUGGGUGCUAUAAGAAAACAGGUUGAGCAAGCCAUGAGGAGCAAGACACCACUAAAGAGUGUUCCAGCAAAGGCUUCAUCUUCAUUCCUGUCCUUGAGUUCUUGCCCUGCCUUCCUUCAGUGAUGGAGUAUGAUGUGGAAGUAUAAUUGAGAUAAACCCUUUUCACUCUGGUUUGCAUAUGAUCAUGGUGUUUUGUCACAGCAAUAGAAAUCCUAAGAUGGAUUGGUACCCGGCCAUGGGAUAUUGCAAUGACAGUCCUGACCAUGUGUUUUUGGGAGAUUCAUGAUAGCAAUUAAACUUUGGGCUGUGUACUGGAUGGUUUUGUGUAUCAACUUGAAACAAGUUAGAGUCAUCAGAGAGAAAGGAACCUCAACUGAGAAAAUGCCUCUAUGAGAUCCAGUUGUAGGGCAUUUUCUUAACUAGUGAUCAAUAGGGAAGGGCCCAGCAUAUGGUGGGUGGUGUCCUGAGUUCUAUAAGAAAGCAGGCUGAGGGCUGGAGAGAUGGCUCAGCGGUUAAGAGCGCUGACUGACAGGACAGCCAGGGCGAUACAGAAACCCUGUCUCAAAAAACCAAAAAGGGGGCUGGUGAGAUGGCUCAGUGGGUAAGAGCACCCGACUGCUCUUCCGAAGGUCCAGAGUUCAAAUCCCAGCAACCACAUGGUGGCUCACAACCAUCCAUAACGAGAUCUGACGCCCUCUUCUUCUGGUGUGUCUGAAGACAGCUACAGUGUACUUACAUAUAAUAAAUAAAUAAAUCU